ACGGGAGGGGCAAGCGUUAUCCGAAAUAACUGGGCGUAAAGUGUCCGUAGAUUGUAUUGUAAGUUAUUUGUUAAAUAUUAAAGCCUAACUUUAAAAAAGCAUUUAAUACUACUAUACUAGAGUUUUAAACAGAAAAGCAGAAUUUUAUGUUGAGAAGUAAACUAUCGUUGACACAUAAAGGAAUAUCAUUAGUGAAGUCGGCUUUUUAGUAUAAACUGACGUUGAGGGACGAAAGUGUAGGUAUCAAACAGG
RNAcentral lists this ribosomal RNA (252 nucleotides) under uncultured bacterium. RNAcentral describes it as "partial 16S ribosomal RNA". It matches the Rfam family "Bacterial small subunit ribosomal RNA", at positions 525 to 776 of the family's 1533-position model. The record is from RNAcentral.